This 510-nucleotide ribosomal RNA is filed under the name uncultured bacterium. Its description in RNAcentral is "partial 16S ribosomal RNA". It matches the Rfam family "Bacterial small subunit ribosomal RNA", at positions 28 to 507 of the family's 1533-position model. The record is from RNAcentral.
GACGAACGCUGGCGGCGUGCUUAACACAUGCAAGUCGAACGAAGAGCGAUGGAAGCUUGCUUCUAUCAAUCUUAGUGGCGAACGGGUGAGUAACGCGUAAUCAACCUGCCCUUCAGAGGGGGACAACAGUUGGAAACGACUGCUAAUACCGCAUACGAUCUAAUCUCGGCAUCGAGGAUAGAUGAAAGGUGGCCUCUACAUGUAAGCUAUCACUGAAGGAGGGGAUUGCGUCUGAUUAGCUAGUUGGAGGGGUAACGGCCCACCAAGGCGAUGAUCAGUAGCCGGUCUGAGAGGAUGAGCGGCCACAUUGGGACUGAGACACGGCCCAGACUCCUACGGGAGGCAGCAGUGGGGAAUCUUCCGCAAUGGACGAAAGUCUGACGGAGCAACGCCGCGUGAGCGAUGACGGCCUUCGGGUUGUAAAGCUCUGUUAAUCGGGACGAAAGGCCUUCUUGCGAAUAGUGAGAAGGAUUGACGGUACCGGAAUAGAAAGCCACGGCUAACUACGUG